Molecule: ribosomal RNA, 253 nt
Filed under: uncultured bacterium
Lineage: Bacteria
Description: partial 16S ribosomal RNA
Rfam family: Bacterial small subunit ribosomal RNA
Source: RNAcentral
UACAGAGGGGGCAAGCGUUGUUCGGAAUUACUGGGCGUAAAGGGCGCGUAGGCGGCCAUGCGUGUCUUCCGUGAAAUCCCUCGGCUUAACUGAGGACGUGCGGAAGAAACUGCAAGGCUCGAGUCCGGGAGAGGGGGGUGGAAUUCCCAGUGUAGCGGUGAAAUGCGUAGAUAUUGGGAGGAACACCGGUGGCGAAGGCGGCCCCCUGGACCGGUACUGACGCUGAGGAGCGAAAGCGUGGGGAGCGAACAGG